AAGAUAUUAGUAUAAUCAAUACCCAAUUUUGUCAAAAUUGAAAAAUAGGCUAACCCCUAUAUAUCUUU
This 68-nucleotide transfer RNA is filed under the name Micropotamogale ruwenzorii (Ruwenzori otter shrew). RNAcentral describes it as "tRNA-Asp". The record is from RNAcentral. Lineage: Eukaryota; Metazoa; Chordata; Mammalia; Afrosoricida; Tenrecidae.